AACGUAGGUUCCGAGCGUUAUCCGGAUUUACUGGGCGUAAAGCGCGUUCAGGCGGUUUGGCAAGUCGGGCAUGAAAUCUCUCGGCUCAACCGGGAGAGGUUGUCCGAUACUGCUGGACUUGAGGGCAGUAGAGGGUGGUGGAAUUCCGGGUGUAGUGGUGAAAUGCGUAGAUAUCCGGAGGAACACCAGUGGCGAAAGCGGCCACCUGGACUGCUCCUGACGCUGAAACGCGAAAGCUAGGGGAGCGAACGGG
RNAcentral lists this ribosomal RNA (253 nucleotides) under uncultured bacterium. RNAcentral's name for it is "partial 16S ribosomal RNA". It matches the Rfam family "Bacterial small subunit ribosomal RNA", at positions 524 to 776 of the family's 1533-position model. The record is from RNAcentral.